RNAcentral lists this ribosomal RNA (476 nucleotides) under uncultured bacterium. RNAcentral describes it as "partial 16S ribosomal RNA". It matches the Rfam family "Bacterial small subunit ribosomal RNA", at positions 30 to 507 of the family's 1533-position model. The record is from RNAcentral.
UGAACGCUGGCGGCGUGCUUAACACAUGCACGUCGAACGGGAAACCUUUUAAUGAAGCUUCGGCAGAUUUAGCUGGUUUCUAGUGGCGGACGGGUGAGUAACGCGUGGGUAACCUGCCUUAUACAGGGGGAUAACAGUCAGAAAUGACUGCUAAUACCGCAUAAGCGCACAGGACCGCAUGGUCCGGUGUGAAAAACUCCGGUGGUAUAAGAUGGACCCGCGUUGGAUUAGCUUGUUGGUGGGGUAACGGCUCACCAAGGCGACGAUCCAUAGCCGGCCUGAGAGGGUGAACGGCCACAUUGGGACUGAGACACGGCCCAGACUCCUACGGGAGGCAGCAGUGGGGAAUAUUGCACAAUGGGGGAAACCCUGAUGCAGCGACGCCGCGUGAAGGAAGAAGUAUCUCGGGAUGUAAACUUCUAUCAGCAGGGAAGAUAGUGACGGUACCUGACUAAGAAGCCCCGGCUAACUACGUG